AUGGACAACUGCGCCGAUCAGAGCCUUGCGCAGAGGAGCAUUGGAUUCUUCAGGGUGCCUGGUCUCUUUGUGCGGCUGAGCAGCAAAGGCCUGAACGCAGUGGACCCUGAUUCAGUCUGGAGCCCAACCUCUCCUCUGGAUUUCAAGAACCUGCCGUCGUCAAACACUCUGGGCACCAAUCUCAAGCCCACUGGAUUGCUAGGCAUCGAGGCUGAUCUUCUGAAGCUCAGAACCGGCUCCCCGAGAGUCGGUCUCGGCCUUGUCGAUGCCCUCACCGCCGACGAGGGCUCGUUGCACUUUGGCGGCAAGAACUCGUUCCUUGAAUCCAUCAAGCCAUUUCUCGAGCUUGGGCUGCCAAAGGUGGCUGCCGAUGAUGCAUCGUCGUGUCAGAAGACCGGUUCGGUUGGCCUUGGCGCCGCCAUGAAGGAGAACACAGGCUUCGUUCAAUGUGAUUGUGAAGAUGAAGAGUACACCUGCGUGAUCGAGCACGGCCCGAACCCGAGGACGACGCACAUCCUGAAAGGCCAGACGGUGGAGGUGCCCAACGGCGUGCGUUCCAAGAGGCCGAUUUUCACCAUCGAGCCCAUCGAGGAGCCGUCAUGGCCGUCGAUGCCGGCUGCUGGUGCCGCCGCUUCUGGUUCGUGCUCCCACUGCAGGAAGCGGCUGCGAGAGGACAUGGAUACCUUCAUGUAUCUGGGCGAGUUGUUCUGCAGCAACGAGUGCAGGAAGUGCUGCAUGGAGGAGGAGAUAGACGAGGUGGAGGUGGAGCUCAUGGUGCUGGAUUCCGGCGGCUCCUCUGCUGAUCUGCAUUGGUGA
This 816-nucleotide ribosomal RNA is filed under the name Triticum aestivum (bread wheat). RNAcentral describes it as "partial small subunit ribosomal RNA". Lineage: Eukaryota; Viridiplantae; Streptophyta; Magnoliopsida; Poales; Poaceae. The record is from RNAcentral.